Non-coding RNA from Monodelphis domestica (gray short-tailed opossum), 891 nucleotides. NCBI's taxonomy places the organism in Eukaryota, Metazoa, Chordata, Mammalia, Didelphimorphia, Didelphidae. The record is from RefSeq and is a predicted model, not a curated record.
GACUCUACACAUACAAAUUAAUGGUCUCCAUAUGUACAGGUUAGAGCAGUUAAGGAAUGAGGAUAGUAGGUCUAUCACUGCACUCAUCUAAUAGAAUUCAAGAAAAGUUCUGCAAAAGGCAACAAUUUAAAAAUAAUCACUGAACCACUAGUUGGAAAAUAAAGAAAUCAUAUGUUUUCACACCUUUAACUGUAAGCUCAUUCAUAAUGAACUUAUUAUCAUUAGUCUACAGGCCAAUGAUCAUAGACUAUAACCCUGUAGCAAAGGACUUGACCUCAACAUUGCAAAGGAAGAAGUAGUGGCCUCUUAUGAAUGAAUAAUACCAGGUGGAUUACUAUCUAUUUAACAUCAAGGAAUGCAGUAUACAGGAUGAAGAGAAUCAGCUCCAGUGAAUUUCAGAAUGUCUCACUGCAAGUUAAUAUUGAGAAGGGAUGAUCCUACUACUCUAGUUAAAACCUUAACAUCCUCACUUGGGUGUGUAGGCUCAUUACUUUCUAGUCACUCAUUCUAGAAACAUUUCAAAGAGAAAGUAUUGGAGGUUAGGAGAAAAAUCAUUGUAACAGAAAUGUUGUAUUUGGACCGCAGUUCUGCCCACUUUGUGGGCAAGGCAAAUCACAUCCCUCCUCUGGCAGAACUGAGAUGUGGCAACUGUAUACUCCAGGCAAGGCUUAAAAAUGUGUCAUUGAGGGGGCAGCUGUGUAGCUCAGUGGAUUGAGAGCCAGGCCUAGAGACGGGAGGUCCUGGGUUCAAAUCUGACCUCAGACACUUCCCAGCUGUGUCACCCUGGGCAAGUCACUUGACUCCCAUUGCCUAGCCCUUACCUCUCUUCUGCCUUGGAGCCAAUACACAGUAUUGAUUCUAAGAUGGAAAAAAAUAAAAUGUGUUAUUGAC